RNAcentral lists this ribosomal RNA (321 nucleotides) under uncultured eukaryote. Its description in RNAcentral is "partial 18S ribosomal RNA". It matches the Rfam family "Eukaryotic small subunit ribosomal RNA", at positions 1470 to 1796 of the family's 1831-position model. The record is from RNAcentral.
CCCUUAGAUGUCCUGGGCCGCACGCGUGCUACACUGACUGGUGCAUCAAGCCCCCUGGCCCGAAAGGUGCUGGGAAAUCUUUAAAUGCCAGUCGUGCUAGGGAUUGAUCUUUGUAAUUUUGGAUCAUGAACGAGGAAUUCCUUGUAAGCAUAUGUCACCAACGUGUGCUGAAUACGUCCCUGCCCUUUGUACACACCGCCCGUCGCUCCUACCGAUCGAAGAGUUAGGUGAAUUGUUUUGAUCGAUAAGAUUUGACUAUGGUCAACUCUCGUUGUGAAAUUCUGUGAAUCUGACUGUUUAGAGGAAGGAAAAGUCGUAACA